Molecule: long non-coding RNA, 1150 nt
Organism: Octopus sinensis (East Asian common octopus)
Lineage: Eukaryota; Metazoa; Mollusca; Cephalopoda; Octopoda; Octopodidae
Exons: 3
Source: RefSeq, a predicted model, not a curated record
GGUAUAUUGGGCUUCGUAUAUUUUACCCCAGUGUCACUUUGAUGGCAUGAACUGCUCUCACUCAAUAAUAAUAAUAAUAAUAAUAAUAAUAAUAAUAAUAAUAAUAAUAAUAAUUAUAAAACAAGAGUCAGAAGAUGGAGGGAAAGACAGAUGAUAAUGAAGUAGGGGCAGUCGAAAAUGGAAAAAGGGAUGGAAACAUUAAGGCAAAAGAUCUAGUGAACAAAAUGAAGAAGAAAAAAAGGCAAACCCUGCCAACAUAAUUGGUAGACCAAGAUCUAAGAGUGAGAGAAAGUUGUGGUGAAAGAGUAGAGCAGGGUUCGCCACCACCCCCUGCCGGAGCCUCGUGGAGCUUUAGGUAAUUUCGCUCAAAAUAAACACUCACAACACCCGGUCUGGGAAUCGAAACCGCGAUCCUAUGACGCGAGUCCGCUGCCCUAACCACUGGGCCUCCACUACAGCAACAUUGUAGACCAGGUAGAACUGCUAAUCGUCUGCACUAUUCUAUUUCCAGACUUACUUCUCGGGUUUAAAUAAUGAAAGAUGGUCUUUGAAUAAUUCGGGAGAUGCACGCAGAAAGGCAAGAAUCCAAACAAUAGAGCGUCUAUUUAUUCCUAAUACACCCUGGCAGAUUCGAACGUGAAUAUGCGAAUGACUGUUACUUUCCUUCAUCGGAAAACAUCCCCAUUUAGACGAUGUGUGUUCAUAAUACGCCUGAUUCACCGAAGACAAAUAUUUGAAUAUUUGUCGAAGAACCGCUGGAGUGGGUGGACUAUACGCCUUCCUUGUGCUAUUUCAUUGCGUCCCUUUAUGUUCUGAGUUCGAAACCCGUCUAGGUCAGUUUUGCUGUCCUUCCUUCCUUCUGGGGGGUGGGAGAAGGGUUGAUAAAAUAGGUAGCAGUGAAGUACUGAGAUUGAUACGAUUGACUAUAGUAUGCAUCUUCAACAUUUGAAUGUCUCUGUGUGUGUGCGAUAUUAAGCUGUGAAGGGCAUUGAAGCUUUGCACGUCUCUUCAAAGUCUUGGAAUUACGAACAGCAGACUCCAUCACUGUAUUUUUCUUAAACCUUCUUCUCUCAUCAUCAUCAUCUCUUUCUCUUUCUAUCAUACAGACCAACAAAUAUGUCUGUCGGUAUCUCUCUCUCACUCUCUCUCU